UACAUGGGGUGCAAACGUUGCUCGGAAUUAUUGGGCGUAAAGCGCGCGUAGGCGGGUCUUUAAGUCAGGGGUGAAAUCCUGGAGCUCAACUCCAGAACUGCCUUUGAUACUGAAGAUCUUGAGUUCGGGAGAGGUGAGUGGAACUGCGAGUGUAGAGGUGAAAUUCGUAGAUAUUCGCAAGAACACCAGUGGCGAAGGCGGCUCACUGGCCCGAUACUGACGCUGAGGCACGAAAGCGUGGGGAGCAAACAGG
RNAcentral lists this ribosomal RNA (253 nucleotides) under uncultured bacterium. RNAcentral's name for it is "partial 16S ribosomal RNA". It matches the Rfam family "Bacterial small subunit ribosomal RNA", at positions 524 to 776 of the family's 1533-position model. The record is from RNAcentral.